AUACGGAGGGUGCAAGCGUUACUCGGAAUCACUGGGCGUAAAGCGCGCGCAGGCGGCUAUUUAAGUUGGAUGUGAAAGCCUACGGCUCAACCGUAGAACUGCAUCCAAAACUAUUUAGCUAGAGUGUGGGAGAGGAAGAUGGAAUUAGUUGUGUAGGGGUAAAAUCCGUAGAGAUAACUAGGAAUACCAAAAGCGAAGGCAAUCUUCUGGAACACUACUGACGCUGAGGCGCGAAAGCGUGGGGAGCAAACAGGAGUAGAAACCCUUGUAGUCC
This 274-nucleotide ribosomal RNA is filed under the name uncultured bacterium. Its description in RNAcentral is "partial 16S ribosomal RNA". It matches the Rfam family "Bacterial small subunit ribosomal RNA", at positions 523 to 796 of the family's 1533-position model. The record is from RNAcentral.